RNAcentral lists this ribosomal RNA (253 nucleotides) under uncultured bacterium. RNAcentral's name for it is "partial 16S ribosomal RNA". It matches the Rfam family "Bacterial small subunit ribosomal RNA", at positions 524 to 776 of the family's 1533-position model. The record is from RNAcentral.
UACAGAGGUCCCAAGCGUUGUUCGGAUUCACUGGGCGUAAAGGGUGCGUAGGUGGUGAGGUAAGUCUGAUGUGAAAUCUCCGAGCUCAACUCGGAAAUGGCAUUGGAAACUACUUGGCUAGAGGAGUGGAGGGGGGACUGGAAUUCUCGGUGUAGCAGUGAAAUGCGUAGAGAUCGAGAGGAACACCAGUGGCGAAGGCGAGUCCCUGGACACUUCCUGACGCUGAGGCACGAAAGCUAGGGGAGCAAACAGG